GGCGACGACGGGUAGCCGACCUGAGAGGGUGACCGGCCACACUGGGACUGAGACACGGCCCAGACUCCUACGGGAGGCAGCAGUGGGGAAUAUUGCACAAUGGGCGAAAGCCUGAUGCAGCGACGCCGCGUGAGGGAUGACGGCCUUCGGGUUGUAAACCUCUUUCAGCAGGGACGAAGCGCAAGUGACGGUACCUGCAGAAGAAGCACCGGCUAACUACGUGCCAGCAGCCGCGGUAAUACGUAGGGUGCAAGCGUUGUCCGGAAUUACUGGGCGUAAAGAGUUCGUAGGCGGUUUGUCGCGUCGUUUGUGAAAACCAGCAGCUCAACUGCUGGCUUGCAGGCGAUACGGGCAGACUUGAGUACUGCAGGGGAGACUGGAAUUCCUGGUGUAGCGGUGAAAUGCGCAGAUAUCAGGAGGAACACCGGUGGCGAAGGCGGGUCUCUGGGCAGUAACUGACGCUGAGGAACGAAAGCGUGGGUAGCGAACAGGAUUAGAUACCCUGGUAGUCCACGCCGUAAACGGUGGGCGCUAGGUGUGGGUUCCUUCCACGGAAUCCGUGCCGUAGCUAACGCAUUAAGCGCCCCGCCGGGG
RNAcentral lists this ribosomal RNA (594 nucleotides) under Nocardiaceae bacterium. Its description in RNAcentral is "bacterial SSU rRNA". It matches the Rfam family "Bacterial small subunit ribosomal RNA", at positions 272 to 877 of the family's 1533-position model. Lineage: Bacteria; Bacillati; Actinomycetota; Actinomycetes; Mycobacteriales; Nocardiaceae. The record is from RNAcentral.